GGCGCUGUGGUGGAAUUGGUAGACACGCCUGAUUCAAAAUCAGGUUCCUUCGGGAGUGACGGUUCAAGUCCGUCCAGCGCCACCA
This 85-nucleotide transfer RNA is filed under the name Idiomarina zobellii. RNAcentral's name for it is "tRNA_Leu_CAA". It matches the Rfam family "tRNA". Rfam says of the family: Transfer RNA (tRNA) molecules are approximately 80 nucleotides in length. Their secondary structure includes four short double-helical elements and three loops (D, anti-codon, and T loops). The record is from RNAcentral. RNAcentral also lists the same sequence under 8 other names. Lineage: Bacteria; Pseudomonadati; Pseudomonadota; Gammaproteobacteria; Alteromonadales; Idiomarinaceae.